This 1343-nucleotide long non-coding RNA is filed under the name Homo sapiens (human). RNAcentral's name for it is "HSALNT0078092". The record is from RNAcentral. Lineage: Eukaryota; Metazoa; Chordata; Mammalia; Primates; Hominidae.
AGUACAAGCAACUCUUCCUGUCUUCUUAUCCAGGACACAACUUUAAAUGCUAAGAAAAAUAGCAGAAUUUGUAAAUGGGGAAGACUGUGACAAAUAUUUAGACUUCCAUGAUUGUAAGGGGCUGAAAGUCUGAAAGUAGGUGAAGAAUACAGACAACAAGCACUAUACGAUGGGUAGCCCAUGGCUUAAGCCUCAAAAAAAAAUUUUUCCAGAGUCACAAGAGGAUGGGAGAGGAGCAGUCUGCAAGCAGCCGUAGGAGCAAGACCUUGAGACGUGUCCAUCAAUGCUACGACAGAGUCUCGCUCUGUUGCCAGGCUGGAAUGUAAUGGCACAAUCUCGGCUCACUUCAACCUCUGCCUCCCGAAUUCAAGCAAUUCUCCUGCCUCAGCUUCCCUGAGUAUCUGAGACUACAGAUGCCCACCACCAUGCCUGGCUAAUUUUUGUAUUUUUAGAAGAGACAGGGUUUCAUCAUGUUGGCCAGGCUGGUCUCGAACUCCUGACCUCAGGUAAUCCACCGGACUCGGCCUCCCAAAAUGCUGGGAUUACAAGUGUGAGCCACCACGCCCAGCCAGAUCUCUUCUUUAAUAGAGAAUAAAAACAGGAUAGAUUCUGCUUUGGAGAUCAACAUGCUGUAUAUCACAAUAAUGAUGGGACUCACGGCAUGGAGGAUGGACAGAGGAGCUUUCUCCUGGAGUGGUAUUUCUGGAAUUUCUAGUGUCAGGUAAAGUUCACAGCAUGCUCUGUAGAUUCACUUUUAUCACAAGUUGUGGUUCAAUACAGAACAAGAAGUGUUAUUUAUUAUGAUGACCACCACAAGUCAUCAUGCAGCAGACCAUUCCAAAGUAUUGGUCGAGAUAGUCAUUGGCUAUAUUCCCCUUUAUAGCCUGGAAGACUCCUGAACAACCAGAAUACAUUUAAUUUAUAUUAUCUCUUUUAAAAAUCCAAAUAGUGCUACUUAAUAUCUCUCACAAGAAAAGAAGAAAUCCCUCUGCCUUUUAAUGUUCUGGGAAUAGAAAGAAUAAAGGAGACUGAGGUGAAUCCACCAAGGAGUAUAGCAAUUUCUAUUUGUCUCCUUAAUAGUCCAACACUUCACUCACACAACAAUGUUACGUAGUUUCAUCAAAUGAUGAGUCCAGCCCCUUUCUUCUGCAGAAAAUGUCAGUUCACUGCUCCUUGCCUACAAAAUAGAAAUUAGAGAGAUACCAGCUUUUCUAGCCAGACUACAAAAUUACUUUGACUAAAUCGCUAAAAAUUCAGCCUCUCUACCAAUUUCCACAAUACGUCUCAAAUGGUAACUUUAAUCUCUGUUUGUGCCUUUCAGGAAUCCAAUGAGCAAACAAUUC